This 329-nucleotide ribosomal RNA is filed under the name uncultured eukaryote. RNAcentral's name for it is "partial 18S ribosomal RNA". It matches the Rfam family "Eukaryotic small subunit ribosomal RNA", at positions 1470 to 1796 of the family's 1831-position model. The record is from RNAcentral.
CCCUUAGAUGUUCUGGGCCGCACGCGCGCUACACUGAUGCAUUCAACGAGUCUAAAACCUGCUCUGAUAGGGGUGGGUAAUCUUUUGAAUGUGCAUCGUGAUUGGGAUAGAUGAUUGCAAUUUUUCAUCUUCAACGAGGAAUGCCUAGUAAACGCAAGUCAUCAGCUUGCAUUGAUUACGUCCCUGCCCUUUGUACACACCGCCCGUCGCUCCUACCGAUUGAAUGAUCCGAUGAAUAUCAUGGAUUGAGGAUUAUAGCAGGUUCGCCUGUCUUGAUCUUCGAGAAGUGAAGUAAAUCUUAUCACUUAGAGGAAGGAGAAGUCGUAACA